AGACAGGGUUUCACCAUGUUGGCCAGGCUGGUCUUGAACUCCUGACCAAGUGAUCCACCCACCUUGGCCUCCCAAAGUGCUGGGAUUACAGGCGUGAGCCAUCGCACCAGAGCGAGACUCCAUCAAAAAAGGAAGGAAGGAAGGAGGGAGGGAGGGAGGGAGGGAGGGGAGGGGAGGGGGAGGGAAAUGUCCUGAGCAUAUCCCACAUGCUGAGAUCCUCCAGUGUAUGUAUUCUAGAAGUUAGAAAAUAUCUUAAAUCCUAUAAAAUGUUUCAGAUAGAUUGCUUUCAAGCAUCGUGACUCGUGACAUCAAAAUUAUCGUACAUGCACUUUUCCAUUAUGUUCUUCACAAAGGCUCACCUCUUUUCCAUAAGCCACCAUGCCCAGUCCACAAACCAAAUUAUUUUUAAUGUUCAACAGAAAAGAAAGGUAGCAACAAGUUCCUUAUUUUUGUUAAUUCCUUGUUUCUUGUAAUAAAGAGUAUCACUUCCUCUCACCAAAAAGCUAUAGAGCUUCUGAUGAAAUUCAACUGUUCAAAAGGUUUACCUCUUUGAAACAAAAAGUUUAUGUAGGCCUAUAUUUAUUAGACAAAUUGAAUCAGUAAGUAAUAACCUUCCAAAAAAGACAGUACCGGGACCAAACGGCUUCACUGGUAAUUUAUUAACCCUUCAUCUGGAGAAGUGUCACUUAAACCUGUCCCCAGCAAAAAUCAAAUUUAGGAACCUUUUAUUUAUUUUAUUUUUUUAGGCUGGUCAACUGAAGCAGUGGGGCAAAAUUGAGAAAAACAGUCUUGGCACAGUGGCUCAUGCCUGUAAUCCCACUCUGCCACCAAAAAGUUUUGCAAAAUAUAUGCAGAAGUCAAAAGCAAUGGCUUUUGAAAUUUUUAGAAAAUGAACACAAUUACUAGAAACAUUUUAUUUUAGUGAUCAUGGCUCACUGAAGCCUCAACCUCCCGGGCUUAAGCAAUCCCCAUUGUAAUGGGUGUGUAGUGGUAUUUCAUUGUUUUAAUCUGCAAUUUCCUAAUGGCAUAUGAUGUUGAGCAUCUUUUCAUAUGCUUCUUUGCUAUCUAUAUAUUUUCUUCAAUGAGAUGUGAGUUGACAUCUUUUACACAUAUUUGAAGCAAGUUGUUUGUUUUCUUAUCACUGAGUUUUAAGAGUUAUUUGUAUAUUUUGCAUAAUAGUCCUUUAUCAGACAUGGUUUUUUUGUUGUUGUUUUUUUGUUUUUAUGAGACGAAGUCUCACUCUGCCACCCAGCUUGGAGAGCAGUGGUGCAGUCUUGGCUCACUGCAACCUCUGCCUCCUGGGUUCAAGUGAUUCUCAUUCCUCAGCCUCCCAAGUAGCUGGGAUUACAGGCAUGCACCACCACACCUGGCUAAUUUUUGUAUUUUUAGUACAGACAGGGUUUCACCACGUUGGCCAGGCUGGUCUCAAACUCGUGACCACAGGUGAUCUGCCUGCCUCAGCCUCCCAAAGUGCUGGGAUUACAGGUGUGAGCCACUGCACCUGGCCUAUCAGACAUGUUUUUGAAAAUAUUUUCUCCCAGUCUAUGGCUGGUCUUCCCAUUCUCUUGAUUUAAUUUUUAAAAUGAACAUUAGAAAGCAACUUAGGACAGUAUGUCUCUAUAGAAAGAGGGCAGAUUUUCAAAUUACUCACAAAAGCACAUGACCAGUUUUGACAUUUAUAGUCAGGGACACCUUUCUGAGGUAUACCUCCAUAGAAAUGAUAGCAGCAGCGACUCAUCUAAAGUGGCCAUUGCCAAGAUGCCAGCUACAGCAGGGAGGCACUGGGUAGUUCCUUAAAGGAAAAUACGAUCCAUGGAGCAGGCAGGAGCCCUGCCCUUCGGCUGCAGACCCAGGGGUCUCUGUGCUCUUGGGAGCCCAGAGCCAGCUCUCUCCCAGAGCCCCCUGCCAGCACCUGUUCCUGCUGCCUGGCUUCUCCCACUGUCAGCUCCUGCUCUAAUCCUGGAGCAAGGUUGGAGCCGAGCCCCGGCAUUGUUGCAGCCCAGCCAGGGGGCUCAUGCUCAGGGCAGUGCUGACACACCAGCCCCCAGCCACAUCAGUCCCCUCCAGACUUUGGGUGAUGAGGAUCAUGGGAGGGAAGCCGAGGGGGACUGCACGUAGCUCAACACUGGCCUGCAGGCACCUCUUGGCACAAACAUCCUGGGUGCCAAUGAAUGGCCGUGAGAGGCAGACAGGCUCCUGGGAGGAAGGGGGUGGGUCCCCAGUGAAGCUCCACUUUCAGGCCAGGGAAGGUCCUACCAGUCCUGCCCACCAGAGGGGGAACUUGUGGUGCUUUUUCCUGAGCCCACCUAUUGCUGCCCAUGGACCAAUCAGCAUAUACUUUCCCCACUCUGAAUGAAAACCAUAAAAACCCCAGACUCAGCCAGAGCAGGGCAGACAUCAGGAUGGCCAGCUGCAUAGAGGAACUACCAUCUCCGCUGAGAGAUGAACAUUUUUGGGGAUGACCUGUCAGCAGAGAGGAGCCAUCCACUCCAGGCCUCCUCUCUGCUGAGAGCUGCACACUCGAUGGGACGACCUGCCCACAGAGAGGACCUGCUCACCGCGGGUCUCCUCUGAGCUGUUCUGACCCUCAGUAAAGUUCUUCUUCGUCUUGCUCACCCUCCACUUGUCUGCAUACAUCACUCUUCCUGGACAUAGGACAAGAACUUGGGCAAAGGCACCACCACCCACAGAGGUUUCCAGCCAGAAAAGCAGCACCUCAAAUAUCCCAAGAAAAGAAAUAGCAAAGGGCUAAAGUCAAAAGAUUUGUUUCAAGCCCAGCUAAGAUAAUCAUUAGCUGUAUUAGAUUUUUGUCUAACCAACUAGCAAGUAGAGAAGUCCAGACCUUCCUAAACAAACAAAGGAAGUUUUGAUCAACUGAGCUUGAAAGUCCGGGGGCUGCUCUGGCUUCAAGGAUUUCUAUGUCUUCUCCUCAGCCAA
This 2937-nucleotide long non-coding RNA is filed under the name Homo sapiens (human). RNAcentral's name for it is "non-protein coding lnc-SLC30A4-2:1". Lineage: Eukaryota; Metazoa; Chordata; Mammalia; Primates; Hominidae. The record is from RNAcentral.